CGUCUGUCUGUGUCUGUUUCUAUGUCCCGCCCCCCGGUGUCGCUGCCCAUUGUCUGCAUCGUUCAAAAUGCUACAUUCUAGAGUGUUAGUUUUGAAUGAUGCAGCC
Molecule: long non-coding RNA, 106 nt
Organism: Amblyraja radiata (thorny skate)
Lineage: Eukaryota; Metazoa; Chordata; Chondrichthyes; Rajiformes; Rajidae
Exons: 3
Source: RefSeq, a predicted model, not a curated record